GAUGAAGAACGCAGCGAAAUGCGAUACGUAAUGUGAAUUGCAAAUUCAGUGAAUCAUCGAGUCUUUGAACGCACAUUGCGCCCCCUGGUAUUCCGGGGGGCAUGCCUGUCCGAGCGUCAUUGCUGCCCUCAAGCACGGCUUGUGUGUUGGGCCCCGUCCUCCGAUCCCGGGGGACGGGCCCGAAAGGCAGCGGCGGCACCGCGUCCGGUCCUCGAGCGUAUGGGGCUUUGUCACCCGCUCUGUAGGCCCGGCCGGCGCUUGCCGAUCAACCCAAAUUUUUUAUCCAGGUUGACCUCGGAUCAGGUAGGGAUACCCGCUGAACUUAAGCAUAUCAUAGCGGAGGA
RNAcentral lists this unclassified non-coding RNA (344 nucleotides) under soil metagenome. Its description in RNAcentral is "partial contains 5.8S ribosomal RNA, internal transcribed spacer 2, and large subunit ribosomal RNA". The stretch from base 1 to 119 matches the Rfam family "5.8S ribosomal RNA", at positions 35 to 154 of the family's 154-position model. The record is from RNAcentral.